GACGAAGGGGGCUAGCGUUGUUCGGAAUUACUGGGCGUAAAGCGCGUGUAGGCGGUUGCCCAAGUCGGGUGUGAAAGCCUUGAGCUCAACUCAAGAAAUGCACUCGGUACUGGGUGACUAGAGGACCGGAGAGGAUAGUGGAAUUCCCAGUGUAGUGGUGAAAUUCGUAGAUAUUAGGAAGAACACCAGUGGCGAAGGCGGCUCACUGGCCCGGUACUGACGCUGAGGCGCGAAAGCGUGGGGAGCAAACAGG
Molecule: ribosomal RNA, 253 nt
Filed under: uncultured bacterium
Lineage: Bacteria
Description: partial 16S ribosomal RNA
Rfam family: Bacterial small subunit ribosomal RNA
Source: RNAcentral